UACGGAGGGUCCAAGCGUUAUCCGGAUUUAUUGGGUUUAAAGGGUCCGUAGGCGGGAAGAUAAGUCAGUGGUGAAAGCCUGUGGCUCAACCAUAGAAUUGCCAUUGAUACUGUCUUUCUUGAGUUUACAUGAUGUGGGCGGAAUGUGUCGUGUAGCGGUGAAAUGCUUAGAUAUGACACAGAACACCGAUUGCGAAGGCAGCUCACAAACGUAAUACUGACGCUGAGGGACGAAAGCGUGGGGAGCGAACAGG
Molecule: ribosomal RNA, 253 nt
Filed under: uncultured bacterium
Lineage: Bacteria
Description: partial 16S ribosomal RNA
Rfam family: Bacterial small subunit ribosomal RNA
Source: RNAcentral